UACGUAGGGUGCGAGCGUUGCCCGGAUUUAUUGGGCGUAAAGGGCGCGCAGGCGGCCACGCGCGUCCGUUGUGAAAUCGCUCGGCUCAACUGGGCGAGGUCAGCGGAUACGGCGUGGCUGGAGCAAGCUAGGGGGCAAUGGAAUUCCCGGUGUAGUGGUGGAAUGCGUAGAUAUCGGGAGGAACACCAGUGGCGAAGGCGGUUGCCUGGAGCUUUGCUGACGCUGAGGCGCGAAAGCGUGGGGAGCGAUCCGG
Molecule: ribosomal RNA, 253 nt
Filed under: uncultured bacterium
Lineage: Bacteria
Description: partial 16S ribosomal RNA
Rfam family: Bacterial small subunit ribosomal RNA
Source: RNAcentral